AUCUAGCUGACGAGUCCUGAAUAAGAUGAAACGCGCGUUUUUCAU
This 45-nucleotide non-coding RNA is filed under the name Schistosoma curassoni. The record is from RNAcentral. Lineage: Eukaryota; Metazoa; Platyhelminthes; Trematoda; Strigeidida; Schistosomatidae.